Long non-coding RNA from Bacillus rossius redtenbacheri, 798 nucleotides. RefSeq lists it as uncharacterized. The transcript is spliced from 4 exons. NCBI's taxonomy places the organism in Eukaryota, Metazoa, Arthropoda, Insecta, Phasmatodea, Bacillidae. The record is from RefSeq and is a predicted model, not a curated record.
AAUAUAAACAUUCCUUUGCAGAAAUUCAAGAUGGAAGGUGUUCCUGGCACAAGUUCGAGUAAUAUUUUACCGAAUGUAACAAAAAAAAUCAACAGGUGUGAAACAUGGGGUUAUGAUGAAACCAAAUGUUUGGUGAAUCUGUGGUCUGCAGCUAGAGUACAGCAGGAACUACGAGCUGUGUCUAGAAAUAGGCCAGUGUGGGAGUCUGUAACAAAAGACUUCAAUCAUCAGUUUAAGCCCACUGUUCCAAGAACUUGGCUUCAGUGCAAAACACGGAUACAAAAUUUGCUAAAUAAAUACAAAGCAGCCAAAGAUGAAAACAGGAAGUCAGGUGCUGGAAGGAGUACCUGUUUGUUCUUCGAGGAAAUUGACAUAAUAAUGGGAACUCGUGCAGUCGUAGAGCCUCCAGUGCUACUAGACUCGAUUCAGAAUGAAAAUUUACCUACUGUAAAUAAUGAGGUAGCCAUUGAAAACGAACAUGAUAUUUCAGUGCUUUUAGAAGAGAGUGUGGAUACUUCACUGGAUGAGUCCACUGAAAGUCAUGUUUCAGAGCCACUCCCAUCUAAUACAAAGAAGAGAAAAUGUACUGCUACACUUGCUACAAUGAUGGAUAACUUUUUAUCCGAGUUAAAAAACUCGGAGGAGAGGUUUUACGAAGCGGAGAGAAAAAGAUGGCAAGAAGAACGGCAAUGGGAAGAAGAGUUGAGAAGAGCAGAUUUGGAGAGAGAGCGACGCUACGAAGAACGGAUGUUUGAAUUGUUGAAAACUAUAGUGGAAAAUAAAAAAUAAUAUUCUGAA